This 655-nucleotide ribosomal RNA is filed under the name uncultured Duganella sp. RNAcentral describes it as "bacterial SSU rRNA". It matches the Rfam family "Bacterial small subunit ribosomal RNA", at positions 507 to 1167 of the family's 1533-position model. Lineage: Bacteria; Pseudomonadati; Pseudomonadota; Betaproteobacteria; Burkholderiales; Oxalobacteraceae. The record is from RNAcentral.
GCCAGCAGCCGCGGUAAUACGUAGGGUGCAAGCGUUAAUCGGAAUUACUGGGCGUAAAGCGUGCGCAGGCGGUUUCGUAAGUCUGUCGUGAAAUCCCCGGGCUUAACCUGGGAAUGGCGAUGGAGACUGCGAGGCUAGAGUUUGGCAGAGGGGGGUAGAAUUCCACGUGUAGCAGUGAAAUGCGUAGAGAUGUGGAGGAACACCGAUGGCGAAGGCAGCCCCCUGGGUCAAAACUGACGCUCAUGCACGAAAGCGUGGGGAGCAAACAGGAUUAGAUACCCUGGUAGUCCACGCCCUAAACGAUGUCUACUAGUUGUUGGGUCUUAAUUGACUUAGUAACGCAGCUAACGCGUGAAGUAGACCGCCUGGGGAGUACGGUCGCAAGAUUAAAACUCAAAGGAAUUGACGGGGACCCGCACAAGCGGUGGAUGAUGUGGAUUAAUUCGAUGCAACGCGAAAAACCUUAUCUACCCUUGACAUGGCAGGAAUCCCGGAGAGAUUUGGGAGUGCUCGAAAGAGAACCUGCACACAGGUGCUGCAUGGUUGUCGUCAGCUCGUGUCGUGAGAUGUUGGGUUAAGUCCCGCAACGAGCGCAACCCUUGUCAUUAGUUGCUACGCAAGAGCACUCUAAUGAGACUGCCGGUGACAAACCGGA